RNAcentral lists this ribosomal RNA (524 nucleotides) under uncultured bacterium. Its description in RNAcentral is "partial 16S ribosomal RNA". It matches the Rfam family "Bacterial small subunit ribosomal RNA", at positions 28 to 523 of the family's 1533-position model. The record is from RNAcentral.
GACGAACGCUGGCGGCGUGCCUAAUACAUGCAAGUCGAGCGCAGGAAGCUGACGGAACUCUUCGGAGAGAAGGCAGUGGAAUGAGCGGCGGACGGGUGAGUAACACGUAAGGAACCUGCCUCAAGGAUUGGGAUAACUCCGAGAAAUCGGAGCUAAUACCGGAUAGUUCAACGGACCGCAUGGUCCGCUGAUGAAAGGCGCUUCGGCGUCACCUUGAGAUGGCCUUGCGGUGCAUUAGCUAGUUGGUGGGGUAACGGCCCACCAGGGCGACGAUGCAUAGGCGACCUGAGAGGGUGAUCGGCCACACUGGGACUGAGACACGGCCCAGACUCCUACGGGAGGCAGCAGUAGGGAAUCUUCCACAAUGGACGAAAGUCUGAUGGAGCAACGCCGCGUGAGUGAUGAAGGUUUUCGGAUCGUAAAACUCUGUUGUAAGGGAAGAACACGUACGAGAGGGAAUGCUCGUACCUUGACGGUACCUUACGAGAAAGCCACGGCUAACUACGUGCCAGCCGCCGCCGUAA